This 70-nucleotide transfer RNA is filed under the name Marmota monax (woodchuck). RNAcentral's name for it is "tRNA.Ala". Lineage: Eukaryota; Metazoa; Chordata; Mammalia; Rodentia; Sciuridae. The record is from RNAcentral.
GGGCUGGGGCUCAGUGGUAGAGCGCUUGCCUAGCAUGCAUGAGGCACUGGGUUCAAUCUUCAGCAUCACA